This 261-nucleotide ribosomal RNA is filed under the name uncultured bacterium. Its description in RNAcentral is "partial 16S ribosomal RNA". It matches the Rfam family "Bacterial small subunit ribosomal RNA", at positions 521 to 781 of the family's 1533-position model. The record is from RNAcentral.
UAAUACGAACCGUCCAAACGUUAUUCGGAAUUACUGGGCUUAAAGGGUUCGUAGGCGGCCUUGUAAGUGGGGUGUGAAAUCCCUCGGCUCAACCGAGGAAUGGCGCUCCAAACUACAAGGCUUGAGGGAGACAGGGGUAAGCGGAACUGAUGGUGGAGCGGUGAAAUGCGUUGAUAUCAUCAGGAACACCGGUGGCGAAAGCGGCUUACUGGGUCUCUUCUGACGCUGAGGAACGAAAGCUAGGGUAGCGAACGGGAUUAG